ACGGGCAUUGCUCAGUACGGCGAGUGAAGCGGCAACAGCUCAAAUUUGAAAUCUGGCUCCUUCGGGGUCCGAGUUGUAAUUUGCAGAGGAUGCGUCGGGUACGGGUCCCUACCGAGUUCCCUGGAACGGGACGCCAUAGAGGGUGAGAGCCCCGUCUGGUAGGAUACCCAGCCCAUGUGACGCUCCCUCGACGAGUCGAGUAGUUUGGGAAUGCUGCUCUAACGGGAGGUAUACUCCUUCCAAAGCUAAAUACCGGCUGGAGACCGAUAGCGCACAAGUAGAGUGAUCGAAAGAUGAAAAGCACUUUGAAAAGAGAGUCAAACAGCACGUGAAAUUGUUAAAAGGGAAGCACUCGCUACCAGACUUGGGUUUGGCGGUUCAACCGGGGCCACGCCCCGGGGCAUUCCGCCAGCUCAGGCCAGCAUCAGCUUUCCGUCGGGGGCAAAGACGUCGGGAAUGUGGCUCCCCCUCGGGGGAGUGUUAUAGCCCGGCGUGUCAUACCCUUCGGGGGGCUGAGGUACGCGCUUCUGCAAGGAUGCUGGCGUAAUGGUAGCUAGUGACCCGUCUUGAACCCCCGGGACCAAACGUUUUAUU
This 594-nucleotide ribosomal RNA is filed under the name Plectosphaerella cucumerina. RNAcentral describes it as "partial large subunit ribosomal RNA". It matches the Rfam family "Eukaryotic large subunit ribosomal RNA", at positions 68 to 664 of the family's 3401-position model. Lineage: Eukaryota; Fungi; Ascomycota; Sordariomycetes; Glomerellales; Plectosphaerellaceae. The record is from RNAcentral.